RNAcentral lists this ribosomal RNA (467 nucleotides) under uncultured bacterium. Its description in RNAcentral is "partial 16S ribosomal RNA". It matches the Rfam family "Bacterial small subunit ribosomal RNA", at positions 28 to 506 of the family's 1533-position model. The record is from RNAcentral.
GACGAACGCUGGCGGCGUGCUUAACACAUGCAAGUCGAACGGAAAGGCCCUGCUUUUGUGGGGUGCUCGAGUGGCGAACGGGUGAGUAACACGUGAGUAACCUGCCCUUGACUUUGGGAUAACUUCAGGAAACUGGGGCUAAUACCGGAUAGGAGCUCCUGCUGCAUGGUGGGGGUUGGAAAGUUUCGGCGGUUGGGGAUGGACUCGCGGCUUAUCAGCUUGUUGGUGGGGUAGUGGCUUACCAAGGCUUUGACGGGUAGCCGGCCUGAGAGGGUGACCGGCCACAUUGGGACUGAGAUACGGCCCAGACUCCUACGGGAGGCAGCAGUGGGGAAUAUUGCACAAUGGGCGGAAGCCUGAUGCAGCAACGCCGCGUGCGGGAGGACGGCCUUCGGGUUGUAAACCGCUUUCGCCUGUGACGAAGCGUGAGUGACGGUAAUGGGGAAAGAAGCACCGGCUAACUACGG